UGUGUGAAUGUUAAUAUUUAGUCUGACCUGCCCACUGAGUUUUAAAGGGCUGCGGUAAUUUGACCGUGCGAAGGUAGCAUAAUCAAUAGUCUUUUAAUUGGAGGCUUGAAUGAAUGGUUUGACGGAGGAAAAUCUGUCUCUUUAAUUAUAUUGAAGUUAACAUUUGUGUGAAAAGGCAUUAAUAUUUUAGAGUGACGAUAAGACCCUAUAAAAUUUUACAUGUUAUAUUAUUUGAUUGAAUUGUUGAGUUAAUUGUUAGGUGGUUUAUUGGUGUUUCGCUGGGGCGGCUUGAAUAUAAUGCUAACUGUUUAUAAUAUAAAAUAUUUAUUAAUAGAGAGAGGUCCUUUAUUAAGGAGGUAAGAGUAAGUUACUUUAGGGAUAACAGCAUAAUUUCUUUUGAGAGUUCGUAUUG
Molecule: ribosomal RNA, 412 nt
Filed under: Synalpheus microneptunus
Lineage: Eukaryota; Metazoa; Arthropoda; Malacostraca; Decapoda; Alpheidae
Description: partial 16S ribosomal RNA
Source: RNAcentral